GAGGGGUGCAAGCGUUGCUCGGAAUUAUUGGGCGUAAAGGGUUGGUAGGUGGUCUUGUUUGUCUGAGGUGAAAUCCCGUGGCUUAACUGCGGAAGUGCCUUAGAAACGGCAAGACUAGAGUCCUAGAGGGGUUUGUGGAAUUCCCGGUGUAGCGGUGAAAUGCGUAGAGAUCGGGAGGAACACCAGCAGCGAAGGCGGCAAACUGGAUAGGCACUGACACUGAACAACGAAAGCGUGGGUAGCAAACAGGAUUAGAUACCCUGGUAGUCCACGCCGUAAACGAUGGGUACUAGGCUUUAUGGGAAUUGACCCCUGUAGAGCCGGAGCUAACGCGAUAAGUACCCCGCCUGGGAAGUACGGUCGCAAGACUA
This 371-nucleotide ribosomal RNA is filed under the name uncultured bacterium. Its description in RNAcentral is "bacterial SSU rRNA". It matches the Rfam family "Bacterial small subunit ribosomal RNA", at positions 527 to 896 of the family's 1533-position model. The record is from RNAcentral.